CGGCCAUUUUAGGUGGUCCGCGGCGGCGCCAUUAAAGCGAGGAGGAGGCAAGAGCGGCCGCCGCUGCUUCUUAUUCUUUUUUAGUGCAGCCGGAGGGAGCGGGAGUGUGCCGCACAAGAGUGGGAGGCGAGGGAAGCAGGCCAGGGAGAGGCGCAGGAGCGUUUGCAGCCACGCGCGCGCCCUCUCUGUCUUGUGUGCUUCGCGAGGUAGAGCGAGCGCGCGACAGCGGCGGGGAUUACUUUGCUGCUAGUUUCGGUUCGCGGCAGCGGCGGGUGUAGUUUCGGCGGCGGCGGAGGCAGUAGCACUAUGUCGGAGGAGCAGUUCGGCGGGGACGGGGCGGCGGCGGCGGCAACGGCGGCGGUAGGCGGCUCGGCGGGCGAGCAGGAAGGAGCCAUGGUGGCAGCGCAAGGGACAGCGGCGGCGGCGGGAAGCGGAACCGGGACCGGGGGCGGAACCGCAGCGGGAGGCACCGAAGCGGGCAGCGCGGAGUCGGAGGGGGCGAAGAUCGACGCCAGUAAGAAUGAAGAGGAUGAAGGCCAUUCAAACUCCUCCCCACGACACACUGAAGCAGCGACGGCACAGCGGGAAGAAUGGAAAAUGUUUAUAGGAGGCCUUAGCUGGGACACUACAAAGAAAGAUCUGAAGGACUACUUCUCUAAAUUUGGUGAAGUUGUAGACUGCACUCUGAAGUUAGAUCCUAUCACAGGGCGAUCAAGGGGUUUUGGCUUUGUGCUGUUUAAAGAGUCGGAGAGUGUAGAUAAGGUCAUGGAUCAGAAAGAACAUAAAUUGAAUGGGAAAGUGAUUGAUCCUAAAAGGGCCAAAGCCAUGAAAACAAAAGAACCUGUUAAAAAAAUUUUCGUUGGUGGCCUUUCUCCAGAUACACCUGAGGAGAAAAUAAGGGAGUACUUUGGUGGUUUUGGUGAGGUGGAAUCCAUAGAGCUCCCCAUGGACAACAAGACCAAUAAGAGGCGUGGAUUCUGCUUUAUUACCUUUAAGGAAGAGGAACCAGUGAAAAAGAUAAUGGAAAAGAAAUACCACAAUGUUGGUCUUAGUAAAUGUGAAAUAAAAGUAGCCAUGUCAAAGGAACAGUAUCAACAACAGCAGCAGUGGGGAUCUAGAGGCGGAUUUGCAGGAAGAGCUCGUGGAAGAGGUGGUGGCCCCAGUCAAAACUGGAACCAGGGAUAUAGUAACUAUUGGAAUCAAGGCUAUGGCAACUAUGGAUAUAACAGCCAAGGUUACGGUGGUUAUGGAGGAUAUGACUACACUGGUUACAACAACUACUAUGGAUAUGGUGAUUAUAGCAACCAGCAGAGUGGUUAUGGGAAAGUAUCCAGGCGAGGUGGUCAUCAAAAUAGCUACAAACCAUACUAAAUUAUUCCAUUUGCAACUUAUCCCUAACAGCGGGAACUUCAUUGCAGGCCCUGUGUCGCGCUGACUUCACGAUUCUCACAGGCCCGCUCAAUGCGGACAGGGUACGAGAUGCUCACGCUCUCGAAUGCUGCCGUUUGGUGGCGAAGCAGUAUUUUCCAAUUUGAAGAUUCAUUUGAGGGUGGCUCCUGCCACCUGCAAUAGCAGUUCAAAUUAAAUUUUUGUAUCAAGUCCCUGAAUGGAAGUAUGACGUUG
Molecule: RNA transcript, 1623 nt
Organism: Loxodonta africana (African savanna elephant)
Lineage: Eukaryota; Metazoa; Chordata; Mammalia; Proboscidea; Elephantidae
Gene: HNRNPD
Gene name: heterogeneous nuclear ribonucleoprotein D
Exons: 10
Source: RefSeq, a predicted model, not a curated record